GGGAGCUGUAGGAGAGCUGGCAUUUAUGGGAUUUGGCGUAUCCCAGGGCGGUUCCGUACCGCCAAACCCCA
Molecule: transfer RNA, 71 nt
Filed under: Enterocloster bolteae
Lineage: Bacteria; Bacillati; Bacillota; Clostridia; Lachnospirales; Lachnospiraceae
Description: [Clostridium] bolteae tRNA-Ala(ggc)
Source: RNAcentral